This is a long non-coding RNA of Gallus gallus (chicken), 6718 nucleotides long. RefSeq lists it as uncharacterized. The transcript has 5 exons. The record is from RefSeq and is a predicted model, not a curated record. NCBI's taxonomy places the organism in Eukaryota, Metazoa, Chordata, Aves, Galliformes, Phasianidae.
GGGGCUGUGCCUGUGGGUUGCUCUGGCUGUUUGUUGGUGUUGAGUGGAAGGUUCUGGACACCAGGACACCUUUCAAGCAGUGUGAGGACUCCACUGAGGGCCUUUGUGGAUCCAGCAGGAAGCCACAGCCAGUGGUGGACACCAACAUCCACACUUGAUCGUGUCUGUCGGGCAAGCUCUUUUGCUCUCAGAGAGUGUUUUUGCUCUUCUGGCCAUUCGAUUGAAUUGGUGUCAGUUUCUACUUGUGCUCACUGGGCUUUCCAAGGGUGUUCUCCUUACUUGACACCACCUUUCCCAUUCUCUAUUUCCAAGCAGGAGCUCCCCUUGGCCUCCAUGUCUCGCUCUGGCCAGGCAGAUGUGGUGUGCCAACGGUACGUGGAGUCCAGACCCUGAGCAGAACAACAACUGAGGAGAGAGGCUGCCCUGGGUGAGACAGGAGAAGUGCCCCUUGAAGCGGGGGACGCUCCGCUGGCGCUGCCUCUCGCAUCCACCGGCAGCACAUUCCUUCUCUCUCCUUGGUGCCUGGCACUUUGCCAUCUCCCAGGGCUCACCAAGUCCAAAUAUUCCCUGAUGGAGUCCAUCUCCAGCUUGACCAGCACUCACCCGAUCUGUCCCCGCACCAGCUGGCUAAAGGCUCCCCAGCAUGGCUGGCUGUCGGUGCCUUCUGUCACUCCCAGUCAGCAUGGCUCAGUUCUUUGCCUUUUGGGUUCCAGAGUGUUUGCUACAGGUAUGGAGUGUUUCUCUUCUCUCUCUUCUUGUCUUCCAUGUAGCCCGUUGUUGCCUCGGUGGAGUUUCAGUGACCCAAAUGCAGACUGCUCUGUGUUGACCAAGUGUGAUGCCAAAAGAAGAGCUAGGCUUGAAAGCAGGCUGCUGGACGGGAGACUCCACCACCAGGAGCCGUUGUCAUUCCUGACCUCCCCGGGUUGCAGCAUUGGACGUGCCCUGAUCCUUGGGAAGGAGUUAGAGAGCUGUAUUUCGUUUUCAGAAGGUGGUCAUUACUUACCUUGUCUUGUGUCCAUCAGGUGGCAGUGGAGAGUUGUGACCCUCCCAAGCGGUGCAAGGGCUCUACUGAGGCUCUUGGUGGAUGCCGCAGGAACCCGCACGCACAGAUGGAUGCCAAGAUCUGCUCCUUCCUCUGUCUGGCAAGCUCUGCUGACCCCUGAGGUUGUUUCCAUACUUGCAGAGGUCCUACGGGCUUGGUGUAGGUUGUCGCUUGUGCUCACCUUGCUGUCACCGGGUGUUCUUCCUUUGUCCAUCAUAGGGGUCCCCCGUUCUGAUGGGAUCUCCGUGCCUUCUGUUGAUCCCAGAGUACUUCAAUUUGUUCUUUUAUUUUCAGGUUCUGUACCAUUUCAUGCUUUUGUGAUGUGUUUUUCUUCCUUUUGUUUUACAGGCUGGAAAUGUACACUUGGUUGGAUCUACGAUGACCCAAAUGCAAUCUAUUUAGGUUAGGCCAUGUGUGGUGGGAAAGGAAGAGGUAGGCUCCUAAGCAAAAUUCUGGUGAGGGCUGUGUUUCAUUUGGGGUUUUCUGGGAUGCCCGCUACUCCUCCCUACCCCAUUUUGUUCAUUACUGUGUGUGAAGGAUUCUUUUUUCCUUCUAGGAUUGGGGACACCAGCACCAGAUGCUGUUGCACUUCCUGACCUCCCUGGGUGACAGCGUUGGAAGUGCCUGCACGCUUGGAAAGGGCUAAGUGAUUCCUUCAUCAUUACCAGAAUGUAGUCUGUGUUCAACAGGUGAUGGUGGAGAACUGUGGCCUUCUGCUCAGCGCAAAAAGUCUACUGAGGAUCUAGGUGGAUAGAACAGGAGUGCAGAGCCAUAGGUGGACGCCAAGAUGCACUCCUUCCUCUGUCUGGCAAGCUCUGCUGACCCCUGAGGUCGUACCCACGCUUGCAGAGGUCCUAUGGGUUUGGUGUAGGUUGUGCCUUGUGCUCACUUGGCUUUCACCGGGUGCUGUUGCCUUAUAAUAUUUUUCCCAUUCUCUAUUUCCAAGCAGGAGGUCCCCUUGGCCUCCGUGUCUCGCUCUGGCCAGGCAGAUGUGGUGUGCCAACGGUACGUGGAGUCCAGACCCUGAGCAAAAGAACAGCUGAGGAGAGAGGCUGCCCUGGGUGAGACAGGAGAAGUGCCCCUUGAAGCGGGGGACGCUCCGCUGGCGCUGCCUCUCGCAUCCACCGGCAGCACGUUCCUUCUCUCUCCUUGGUGCCCGGCGCUUUGCCAUCUCCCAGGGCUCGCCAAGUCCAAAUAUUCCCUGAUGGAGUCCAUCUCCAGCUUGACCAACACUCACCCGGUCUGUCCCCGCACCAGCUGGCUAAAGGCUCCCCAGCAUUGCUGGCUGUCGGUGCCUUCUGUCACUCCCAGUCAGCAUGGCUCAGUUCUUUGCCUUUUGGGUUCCAGAGUGUUUGCUACAGGUAUGGAGUGUUUCUCUUCUCUCUCUUCUUGUCUUCCAUGUAGCCCGUUGUUGCCUUGGUGGAGUUUCAGUGACCCAAAUGCAGACUGCUCUGCGUUGACCAAGCACGAUGCCAAGAGAAGAGGCAGGCACCAGAACAGGCUGCUGGUGAAUGCUGUGCGUGCCUUGGGGUUCUUAGAAUGACUUGCGUUCCUCCCUAACCUGUGUUGUUCAGUACUACUAUUGAGGGUUUUAACUUUGAUUCUAGGAUAGGAGACUCUGCUGUCAGAUGGCGUUGCCUGUUCUUCUCUCCCCAGUUUGCAGAGUUGGAUGUGACCUCAGCAUUGGUUAAGGGGUAAGUGAUUCCUUCACCCUGACCAGAAGGUAAUCUCUACUUGUCUUGUGCUGUGUGGAACAGGUUGCAGUGGAGAAGUGCAGUUGUCCGGGGUGCUGCAAGGACUCUAUUGAGGCAUUUGGUGGACGCAGCAGGAACCCACAGCCAGAGAUGGACGCCAAGAUGCACUCCUUCCUCUGUCUGGCAAGCUCUGCUGACCCCUGAGGUCGUUCCCACGCUUGCAGAGGUCCUACGGGCUUGGUGUUGGUUGUCGCUUGUGCUCACCUUGCUGUCACCGGGUGUUCUUCCUUUACCCAUCUUUAGGGCUCCCCAGUUCUGAUGGGAUCUCCGUACCCUCUGCUGAUCCCAGAGAACAUGGGUUUGUUCUCUUAUCUUCAGAUUCAGAAUGUUUUCCUGCUGUUAUGCGAUGUCUGUCUUAGUUUUUAUUUUUUUUCUGGGCUGCCUAUUGAUACAUCCUCAGUCUGCAAUAAACCAAAUGAUUUCUGGUAAGGUUUGACCAAGUGAGAUGGAAAAUGAAGUGGUAAGCUCCAAAACAGGCUUGCAUAUUGGAGACUUAUCCACCACAUGGUGAUGCCUUUCCUGACCUCCUUGAUUGCAGUGUUGGAUGUGCCCUGAUCCUUGGAAAGGGGUGAGUGAUUCCUGCAUCCUUACUAGAAGGUAAUCUCUACUUACUUUUUCUUGUGUCCAACAGGUGGCACUGGAGAGUUGUGACCCUCCUAAGCAGUUCAAGGACUCUACUGAGGCUCUUGGUGGACUCAGCAGGAACCCACACCCAUAGGUGGGAUGCCAAUAUCUAUUCCUUCCUCUGUCUGGCAAGCUCUGGUGUCCCUUGAGGUUGUUCCCGUGCUUGUUGAGGUCCUAUGGACUUGUUGGUUUUCCCUUGUGCUCACUGGGCUUUCCAAGGGUGUUCCUCUUGCUUGACACCACCUUUCCCAUUCUCUAUUUCCAAGCAGGAGGUCCCCUUGGCCUCCGUGUCUCGCUCUGGCCAGGCAGAUGUGGUGUGCCAACGGAUCAAAGCCUUCAGAAUCCAACCAAAAGAAAUGGGGAGAGAGGCUGCCCUGGGUGAGACAGGAGAAGUGCCCCUUGAAGCAGGGGACGCCCCGCUGGCGCUGCCUCUCGCAUCCACCGGCAGCACGUUCCUUCUCUCUCCUUGGUGCCCGGCGCUUUGCCAUCUCCCAGGGCUCGCCAAGUCCAAAUAUUCCCUGAUGGAGUCCAUCUCCAGCUUGACCAGCACUCACCCGGUCUGUCCCCGCACCAGCUAGCUUAGGGCUCUCCAGUACUGCUGGAUGUCAGUGCCUUCUGUUCCUCCCUGUCAACAUAGUGGUGUUUUUUUUUUUUUUUUUAGGUUCAGUAACGUUUCUUGUUAUGCAGUGUUACUCUUCUCUGUUUUCUUGUGUUUCAUGUUGCCUGUCAAUGCCUCUUUGGAGAUACACUGAGUGAAAUGUAAACUGAUGUUCUUUGACCAAGUGUGAUGGAAAAUGAAGAUGUAGGCUCCACUCCAGCUAUCGUAUCCACUGUCUUAGUCGAAGCGGGAAGGACUAUUUUGACUAUUUGUCAACACCUACCUGGCAAUCUGAAUUUAGGAGCUGCUUUCACGGAUGCCUUGCUGCAGGGCAAAGAAGGCCUCAAAACUUCAGCAGACCUCUACCCCCAAGAGAGCUCUGAAACUUAUGUUAAGAAAAUAAUUUUCUUAAUAUUUUUCUGUCUUCUAUAGUUUUAACUGUUGCUUUAGCUUGGCCAGAAAAUAGGUAUGUAAAGCUAAUUGAAAAUCUUGCUGAAGGUUUUAGUGUUUCAGACUGUUGGGUUUGUAUGGCUCUCCCAAGAAGUGUAGGAAGUGUGCCAAUUUACACAGCAGUUGCACUAAAUUGAACAAUACUGAAUUAUGUAACAAAUCAGAUGGAAAACGGUGGAAAUUGUAACUGAGUGGAUGAAAAUCAGAGUAAGGUCAUUGAGUUGAUUUUGUCAUUAUUACUGAUACCUGGACCAUUUUUAUAGACAGGAAUGACAACAGUGCAAACCAUAUAAACUUUGGGUGCAGGAACCUGUCAGGUGUAGGGUGUUGUUGCAAAUAUGGUAAUUUUGGGAUGCUUAUGAGAUGUAAUGAGACUGCUCAAUGGCAUCAAGGCAGUUACCGUGAUCCUAGGGCCACUAGCAAUACAUUGUGGUUUGGAGAUAAAGAUAUAUUAGCUGUAGCGGGCAUGGGGACUGCAUCAAUGAAGCAUAGGCAAAAACUCUGUCAGCUCCCCUUUGCGUAUUGGUGGAUGUGUGGAAAUAGAUACGCAUGUAAAAUUCUCCCAUUGAAUUGGGCUGGGACAUGCAUAGCAGGUUAUCUGAUGCCUCACACAAGUAUCUACACUUGCAUAGAGCCACCAUGAGGAUUUUUAAGAGCUAUGCAGCUAUAGACUGAGAGAGAAUACUCCACUAGUUGAAAGGACUAUGGGAUUCCAUAGUUUUGUUUGAUGGAUACUUUCAGUUGUCAGAGUCACUGAACUGGAACAAGCAGUUGUGAAUGUAUCAGUCACUAUGGAAAGAAUUGAGAACCUAAGUUUAGAAGCCAUCCAGGGUCUUCAGACAGAGAUCUCACGCUGUAGUAAAUCAGUCUUGCAGAGUAGAAUGGCCCUUGACUUUCUUACCGCAAAGGCAUGAGGGGGGUCUGUAUGAUUAUUAACCGAAGUCACUGCACUUACAUGAACCGAAAUGUACACAUAGAGAGUGGUUUAUAGGCAAUUUGGAGAGGCAUUUAAGAGCCACACCAAGUCUCCUUACAUGACUCUUCUGCUGGAAUCGUGGAUAUGUGGAAUAAGCUUUGUAACUGGCUGCCUAACUUGUGUGGCUUAAGUGAUCAGUUGUAGUUGUACUGAUGAUCCUCAUUGUGAUAACCUGCAUAGGUGUGAGGUUCUUUCUGGUGCUGUUGAAAAAUGCUAGAUGAGCGCUCCACCUAGAAGAGGUACCGUGUGAAAUAUCAGGUAGAAAUGGGGAAAUAGUUCUGGAACACAUUACUUGACAGUUGGGCACCGAAAGCAAAAGCCUUUGCAUAACAUAUAGAAAAGGGUGGAUUGUAUCAAGGAAAGUGUAAAUCUGGACCUCAUAGUAUGUGCCAAGUUGGGAAGGAACACAGAAAGUAGUGGAACGUGAGGUUCGUGAGUACAAGGAAGAUAAGGACACAGAGCUGAUGACACAAUGGAAGGUUCAUUGAAGGUCAGCGGAGUUGCUCUUUGUGACUGAAUAUGCAGUCCCAUGAACAGAAGGAGGCACAGCUGCCCUUGCUGAGCAUAAGGAAGAGAAGUUGCUGUUGUGACACAAUGCAAGCCUGACCUUCUGAAGUUGGAAGCUCUCAGCAAGGUAUGCUGAUCACCUUCAUCCAACGCUGACCAGAGAACCACACUGCUUCUUUAGGACCAUGACAGUAGGGUGGGGCAAUGUGUUAAUGUCUUGGAAUUCCACCCAUCUUUCUUGCAAUGUAAUUGAUGUUUGUAUGUUAUGUUUUAAAAUAUGUAACCAUUGUUAUCCUGGCUCUGCGAGUUAGGAGAUUUCUCGUUGCAUCUUAUGUUGUAAUAAAAAUGCCUGUUGAGUGAGUGUGUCUAUGUUACGAUUUUGGCAUGAACACAGGGCUUAUACUUGGCAUUCUGCUAUUGAGCAUUUGUGAAUGAAGAAAGCUUUUAUAGAGGGUGACUUAGGAAGACACCUGGAUGAAGUUGAAGGCUGCUGGAUUGACCGUCACAAUGCUCAAAGAAUCGUAUGGACUAGAAGCGAACCUGGAAUAGAAGCCUGGAAAUCUUCAGUAUCCGUCUCGGAGAGCAUAGGGACCUGGAGGGACACGGGGGUCUGUCUGUGUUUAUCAUCUUGUGUGUUACUGCUGAGCGUGCAGUAUCUGUGGAACUAGCGUGGAGUCUGAAUUGUGUCAUCUUUGAAGCUGUUACGCUGGAAAUAUCCUCUGUGCUUUCUGGAAUUGCUAAUAAAGACUUCCUGCCUUAAUGCUAAC